GACGAACGCUGGCGGCGUGCUUAACACAUGCAAGUCGAACGAUGAUCAGGAGCUUGCUCCUGUGAUUAGUGGCGAACGGGUGAGUAACACGUGAGUAACCUGCCCCUGACUCUGGGAUAAGCGUUGGAAACGACGUCUAAUGCUGGAUAUGAUCACUGGCCGCAUGGGCUGGGGGUGGAAAGAUUUUUUGGUUGGGGAUGGACUCGCGGCCUAUCAGCUUGUUGGUGAGGUAAUGGCUCACCAAGGCGACGACGGGUAGCCGGCCUGAGAGGGUGACCGGCCACACUGGGACUGAGACACGGCCCAGACUCCUACGGGAGGCAGCAGUGGGGAAUAUUGCACAAUGGGCGAAAGCCUGAUGCAGCAACGCCGCGUGAGGGAUGACGGCCUUCGGGUUGUAAACCUCUUUUAGUAGGGAAGAAGCGAAAGUGACGGUACCUGCAGAAAAAGCACCGGCUAACUACGUG
RNAcentral lists this ribosomal RNA (467 nucleotides) under uncultured bacterium. RNAcentral describes it as "partial 16S ribosomal RNA". It matches the Rfam family "Bacterial small subunit ribosomal RNA", at positions 28 to 507 of the family's 1533-position model. The record is from RNAcentral.